This 498-nucleotide ribosomal RNA is filed under the name uncultured bacterium. RNAcentral's name for it is "partial 16S ribosomal RNA". It matches the Rfam family "Bacterial small subunit ribosomal RNA", at positions 30 to 523 of the family's 1533-position model. The record is from RNAcentral.
AUUGAACGCUGGCGGCAUGCCUUACACAUGCAAGUCGAACGGUAACAGGUCUUCGGAUGCUGACGAGUGGCGAACGGGUGAGUAAUACAUCGGAACGUGCCUAGUAGUGGGGGAUAACUACUCGAAAGAGUGGCUAAUACCGCAUGAGAUCUACGGAUGAAAGCAGGGGAUCGCAAGACCUUGUGCUACUAGAGCGGCCGAUGGCAGAUUAGGUAGUCGGUGGGAUAAAAGCUUACCAAGCCGACGAUCUGUAGCUGGUCUGAGAGGACGAUCAGCCACACUGGGACUGAGACACGGCCCAGGCUCCUACGGGAGGCAGCAGUGGGGAAUUUUGGACAAUGAGCGCAAGCCUGAUUCAGCAAUGCCGCGUGCAGGAUGAAGGCCUUCGGGUUGUAAACUGCUUUUGUACGGAACGAAAAGCCCCGGGUUAAUACCCUGGGGUCAUGACGGUACCGUAAGAAUAAGCACCGGCUAACUACGUGCCAGCCGCCGCGGUAA